RNAcentral lists this non-coding RNA (30 nucleotides) under Mus musculus (house mouse). Lineage: Eukaryota; Metazoa; Chordata; Mammalia; Rodentia; Muridae. The record is from RNAcentral.
GCCAGCUAAUGAAGACUUUCUACUGCUUAA